This 496-nucleotide ribosomal RNA is filed under the name uncultured bacterium. RNAcentral describes it as "partial 16S ribosomal RNA". It matches the Rfam family "Bacterial small subunit ribosomal RNA", at positions 28 to 507 of the family's 1533-position model. The record is from RNAcentral.
GAUGAACGCUGGCGGCGUGCCUAAUACAUGCAAGUCGAGCGAACGGACGAGAAGCUUGCUUCUCUGAUGUUAGCGGCGGACGGGUGAGUAACACGUGGAUAACCUACCUAUAAGACUGGGAUACUUCGGGAAACCGGAGCUAAUACCGGAUAAUAUUUUGAGCCGCAUGGUUCAAAAGUGAAAGACGGUCUUGCUGUCACUUAUAGAUGGAUCCGCGCUGCAUUAGCUAGUUGGUAAGGUAACGGCUUACCAAGGCAACGAUGCAUAGCCGACCUGAGAGGGUGAUCGGCCACACUGGAACUGAGACACGGUCCAGACUCCUACGGGAGGCAGCAGUAGGGAAUCUUCCGCAAUGGGCGAAAGCCUGACGGAGCAACGCCGCGUGAGUGAUGAAGGUCUUCGGAUCGUAAAACUCUGUUAUUAGGGAAGAACAUAUGUGUAAGUAACUGUGCACAUCUUGACGGUACCUAAUCAGAAAGCCACGGCUAACUACGUG